Molecule: ribosomal RNA, 773 nt
Filed under: uncultured Neocallimastigales
Lineage: Eukaryota; Fungi; Neocallimastigomycota; Neocallimastigomycetes; Neocallimastigales
Description: partial large subunit ribosomal RNA
Rfam family: Eukaryotic large subunit ribosomal RNA
Source: RNAcentral
UAGUCUCGCACAGAUGCAUAUCAAUAAGCGGAGGAAAAGAAACUAACAAGGAUUCCCUAGUAACGGCGAGUGAAGCGGGAAGAGCUCAAAUUUGAAAUCUUAAAGGUUUUACCUUGACGAAUUGUAGUUUAAAGAAGUGUUUUCUGUUGAAGUUUUGGUAAAAGUUCUUUGGAAUAGGACAUCAUAGAGGGUGAGAAUCCCGUAUUUGACCAUUUACUUUCAGCUGUGUGAUACACUUUCAAAGAGUCGGAUUGUUUGGGAAUGCAGUCCAAAAUGGGUGGUAAAUUUCAUCUAAAGCUAAAUAUUGGCGAGAGACCGAUAGCGAACAAGUACCGUGAGGGAAAGAUGAAAAGAACUUUGAAAAGAGAGUUAAACAGUACGUGAAAUUGUCAAAAGGGAAGCGUUUGACACCAGUGUUGUUUUCUCGAAAAUCAAUUAAAAAGAGUUUGAUUUUGUUGUGUAUUGACCUUAACAGCUUGCAUUUCAAUUUUCUUGCUUUUUUUAAUGCACUUUUCGUUUAACAAGUCAACAUCAGUUUCUUUUGUUGUAAAAAGGUCAUUGGAAGGUGGCUUUCUUUUCGGAGAAAGUGUUUAUAGCCUUUGACUCCUGCAAUCGGAGAGACUGAGGUCUGCAGCGUAGAUCCUUCGGGGUUAGAUACAUUUGUGCUAAGUUAUAGCUUUUUAUAGACAACUUGUUGACCAUGAUUAGUCUUGUAGCUUACUCGCUUAUGCUAUUUUACCUACGCUUAGGAUGUUGAGCGCAUGUCUCUCUCU